RNAcentral lists this long non-coding RNA (620 nucleotides) under Homo sapiens (human). RNAcentral's name for it is "non-protein coding MRPL23-AS1:7". The record is from RNAcentral. Lineage: Eukaryota; Metazoa; Chordata; Mammalia; Primates; Hominidae.
GAGGAAUUGGCACGGACAUGCAGAGAGGGGCAUGUCCCAAACUCGGGGCGCUGUGGCCUCCAGCUGCCAGGAGGUAGAUGUGUUCUGACUUCUGGGUUCCCACCACCAGAACUGCAGGGGAUAUGAAGCAAGCUGGACUUGGGGAGACAUCUCUGCUCGAGUGCACGUUGGCCUGAUGACGACUGCUCUUGGGUUCACGGGUUCCAGGCUCUGCCCGGGAGCCUCAUGCAAACUGGUCCCGUUCUACAGACGAGGAAACUGAGGCACAGAGUGAUUACGGCUGUCCCUGAGCUCCUGCAGCCAGUAAGUGUCUCUGAGGAUGAACUGCCAUGUGCCCGGCGGGGAUGCCGUCCCUGGCCCUUGCUGAGUGCCUCUGGGACGAGGUCAGCUGAGCCUGCCAUCCUAACUCAGACACCAUCUCACUCUCCAAGUCCCUUCUCGGCCCAGCAAAUUCUCACCUCCAGAGGCCAGGUCUGCCCCGCAGGUCUUAGGAAAUACAGCCCUACUUCCAUCCAGCACACCAACCCAAGGAAGUGCCUCGGAGCCCUGGGGCCCGAGGGGGGCCUGGCCUUGGUCUCACGGCGGCAGCUCCACCUGGAGAGGAGUGAACUCAAGCCAGG